This 460-nucleotide ribosomal RNA is filed under the name uncultured bacterium. RNAcentral describes it as "partial 16S ribosomal RNA". It matches the Rfam family "Bacterial small subunit ribosomal RNA", at positions 338 to 795 of the family's 1533-position model. The record is from RNAcentral.
CCUACGGGAGGCAGCAGUGAGGAAUAUUGGUCAAUGGACGAGAGUCUGAACCAGCCAAGUAGCGUGAAGGAUGACUGCCCUAUGGGUUGUAAACUUCUUUUAUAUGGGAAUAAAAUGUUCCACGUGUGGGAUUUUGUAUGUACCAUAUGAAUAAGGAUCGGCUAACUCCGUGCCAGCAGCCGCGGUAAUACGGAGGAUCCGAGCGUUAUCCGGAUUUAUUGGGUUUAAAGGGAGCGUAGGUGGAUUGUUAAGUCAGGUGUGAAAGUUUGCGGCUCAACCGUAAAAUUGCAGUUGAAACUGGCAGUCUUGAGUACAGUAGAGGUGGGCGGAAUUCGUGGUGUAGCGGUGAAAUGCUUAGAUAUCACGAAGAACUCCGAUUGCGAAGGCAGUUCACUGGACUGCAACUGACACUGAGGCUCGAAAGUGUGGGUAUCAAACAGGAUUAGAUACCCGUGUAGUC